Molecule: non-coding RNA, 88 nt
Organism: Poecilia formosa (Amazon molly)
Lineage: Eukaryota; Metazoa; Chordata; Actinopteri; Cyprinodontiformes; Poeciliidae
Source: Rfam
CCUUCAAUAGCUCAGUUGGUAGAGCGGAGGACUGUAGGGUACAACGCUGGACAUCCUUAGGUCGCUGGUUCAAAUCCGGCUCGAAGGA